This 305-nucleotide ribosomal RNA is filed under the name uncultured bacterium. Its description in RNAcentral is "bacterial SSU rRNA". It matches the Rfam family "Bacterial small subunit ribosomal RNA", at positions 331 to 636 of the family's 1533-position model. The record is from RNAcentral.
CGGUACCUACGGGACGCAGCAGUGAGGAAUAUUGGUCAAUGGUCGGGAGACUGAACCAGCCACGCCGCGUGAGGGAUGAAGGUACAGAGUAUCGUAAACCUCUUUUGUCAGGGAACAAAGGCGGGGACGCGUCCCCGGAUGAGUGUACCUGAAGAAAAAGCAUCGGCUAACUCCGUGCCAGCAGCCGCGGUAAUACGGAGGGUGCGAGCGUUAUCCGGAUUUAUUGGGUUUAAAGGGUGCGCAGGCGGUCUGUUAAGUCAGCGGUCAAAGCCCGGGGCUCAACCCCGGCCCGCCGUUUAAGCUGG